CGACGCGCCUGGUGACCAGACGUCCCCGUUUUGGGUGACCUGUCCCCGGUCAAAGCUGUCCCCGAAAAUGUCCCAGAUUUGGACACUGAAUGAGGGAAAUAAGCGCGCAGACACAAAAACCAGUUAUUGCGGUAGCCAUUUAAAGCAUCGCCAGAGAAGACGUCGUAUGACGUACGUAUCAGGACGUACGACCAGAUGCAGCAGCGUCAACGACAAAAAUCUAGAGGCGGCAAAAAGGAAAGAAAAGAAGAUCAGCGGUCAUAAAUGGUAUGUUGUGUAUAUAUUAAUUUAUUUAUUGAAUUUAGGUGGAAGACUGCUUUGGUAACAUAUGAUUUUCCUGUAGGCAUAGGAACAUGACUCGACUCUGUUAAAAAUAAUAAAUGAAUUAAUAAUAAAUCAAUGGUUGAUAGUUCUGUAUUUUGUGUCGGGCUGUGUGGGUAACUAAUGACUGUAGUAGGCCUAGCCUAGUUAUAAAUGCAGACCAUCUGAUUAGCUGAUGCCCUCAGUCAUGUAUAAAUUAAUAUACUAAUAUGUUUUGACUUGGUAAUUAUUAUUAUUUACAUCUUUGAUAUUUACGAUAUUUAUUUAUGAUAAUAUUUCAUGAUUUUUCACGGCGCCGCAUUGAAAAUGUCCCCGAUUUUCAUUUCAGAAAUCUGGUCACCUUAAUGUGGAGUGGAUGACAAGAUCAAGAUGAAAAGAACGAUUGAAAGCUUUUUCGUUAAAAAAGUUAAUAAGUUAAGGCCUGAUCCGAACGAAUGCUCUGACACGGAUCUCCCUUCAACUUCCCAGGUUAUGUCAGGCCCUAAUCAGGAGACGGCAUCGGCUAAUGAGCCGCACACGAUCAACUCCGAGCCACAGCCCGCCGAAAUUAAAAGGAGGAAAGUGUAUGCAUUUAGAAGAGAGUGGCUUGACCAGUUUCCCUGGCUAAGAUACGAUAAAACCGGGAACGAGAUGCACUGCAUUUACUGUAAAGAGUGUGGGAAGACCAUGGCCGGCAAUAGUGCUUUUGCGACUGGUUCCAAUACAUUUCGUAUUGAAACUCUGAAAAAGCACAAUGCAUCCAUGAAACACAUUACAUGCCGCGAUAAAUGCACUGCCACAGUGUCCCCUCUCCCCGCUGCCUUUCAGCGGCAGGAAGUAGCAAACAGAACAUCAGAUGAGGCCGAGAUGAUGAUCAAGUUCAACAUUGCCUACAAUAUUGCAAAAGAAGAACUUCCCUUCACUAAAUUCAAGUCCGAAAUAAUUCUUCACAAGAAAAAUGGCUUGAACGUAAACCCGACCUACAGCAAUGAUGUCAUGUGCGCCCAAUUUAUUGGAGUCAUCGCAGAUACUCUGAAAAAAAAUACAUCGGUGCAAAUUGCGAACAGUGCAUACAUGGCAUUCCUGAUCGACGGAGACACAGACAUCGCCAAAAAGGAAUGCGUCAUUGUGUAUGGUCGUAUCUUGCAGAGAGGAGGACCGGUGAAUAUACUGAUUGGACACAUCGAGGUCCAGCAUGCCCAUGCCCAAGGAAUUUAUGCUGCCUCAAAGAAAGCAUUUGCUGCUCUUGGGGACCAGUGCAGUAACUGGCUGGAGAAAAUUAUUGCUCUGGGUGCUGAUGGUGCUGCUGUUAAUUUGGGCAGCAAAGGGGGUGUCAUAGCCCUUUUGCAGCAAGAGGCAGGUGAUCACAUUGUGCCUUUCCACUGCAUGCCUCACAGAUUGGAAUUGGCAAUGCUGUCAGUGCAGAGGGACAAUCAAAUGAUGGGGCAAUUGUACGACCUUCUACAUUUAAUUUGGAAGACUUACCAUUUCAGCCCAAAAUCAAUGAGAGAGCUCAGGGUCAUUGGGGCUGACUUGGGGGUAAAUGUGCUGAUGCCCAGUGGGGUGAAGGGGACAAGGUGGCUCCCACAUGUUUCAAGGGCCUUGGAGACCUUUCUUAAACCAGGACAGUUCACUGCUGUGUACUACCAUAUGGACCAUUUGGCAAGCUCCUCUACCAAUGCAGACAUUGCAGGCCGAGCUACAAAGGCCAGUGCAUUCUUUCAGGAUGUUCCUUUCAUUAGAGCCACUUGUUAUUGAUGUAUUUUUAGGAAUUUAGUUCAUCAAUGUUCUAUGUGACUAAUUUUUAUUGUUGUAUGGUACAGGUUAAGAAAUCAAUGGAGGAUGCUACCUUUGUGGCCUUUUGCCAUGUUAUUGCAGACAUGUUCAGUGGCAUUAGUAAGUUUAGCCUCCUGCUUCAGAGGAAUGACAUCAUCUUACCACAGGUAAGGGAAAUGUGCAAAUUUGAAUUGUGUUUGUGGUCAUCUUCAGCUGUGUUAAUAAUACUGCACUGAAAUAUCUAAACAGGCAGUUUGUGGCCUUGAAAAACUGCUGGUGACCACAGAGGCAAUGGCUGUGAGACCCAAGCCUGGGGGAAGACUGUCAGAGUUCCUGGCUGACCUGAGGCUGCAGAGGAGGAGGCAGCAAGAAAAGGGUGAAAUGGCAAUCUACAAAUUCCGGACAAUAACACUCAAAGGACAGGCAUCAGAGCUGGCAGGAGAUAGUGUUGGUGGCACUAAACUUGAAAAAGUAAUGGAUGCAACGAUCAUAUCCACUGUAAAACAUCUGAAAGCAAGAUUCAGUAGCCUCCUAGGGGAGAGUGCUUCUGGGUCUGACACAGCCAAGGCUGUCAAAUGUUUCAACAUUUUCAAUCACGAUAGCUGGCCAGAGAACCAAGAAGACUUAGUAGACCAUGGUGCUGAUGACCUUGCAUUUCUCUUGGAUCACUUCUCCACAGUUCUGAGAAGGUAGCUGGUGGAUUACUACAAUAUUAUGUGUGCUGGUGGUGGUAGAUAUUUUGUUCAUGUAGAAUAGAAUAUCUUUAUUGUCAUUCUAACAGGUACAACGAAAUUUCAGUACGUAUAUUUUGGUAUGUGAACACUGAUUAGCUGUGUAGUCCACAUCAUUUUCAGAAAUGGUGUAAACACUGACCUUGCAAAAGAAGAGUUUGUGGGCUUAAAGCUAUUAAUUGCAAGGAUGUUCCAAGACAAGACCUACCUCAGCCUUUGGGAGCUCAUGUUGACCAGAGAGCCCUACUGCUCACAGUACAAGAACAUCCUGCAUCUUGUACACAUUAUGCUGGUCCUCCCUGUCUCAGCUGCAGUUUGUGAAAGAGGAUUCUCUGCACAGAAGAGGAUCAAAUCAGACACUAGGGCAUCCCUCCAUUCAGACACAGUUGAAGAUCUGAUAAGAAUCAGUGUAGAGGGACCAAGUCUGGAAGAUUUUGACGCUAGAGAGAGUGUGGGAAGCUGGUUUAGCCAAGGCCAAAGAUCAAGAAGGCCAAACUUCCUUAGUUGGCCAUCAGAGGGGCAUGUGACUGCAAUUGAGGUCCAUAGUCCAUAAGACCUGGAGCCAUGAGAUGUGUUUGAAGUUUCAGUUUAAAACACUUAAUUUAGAUUUUCUUUUUAUUUCACUUAUCUUCUGAUGUUUUAAAUUUAUAUCGCAGCUCAGUGAAGCUGCAAUAAUUAUUCAAAUAAAGAACUUUAUGUUGACCAGAUUCUUCGUUCAUCAUUUACAAGUCAAUAUUGCCUAUAUGGACAGCUAUUUAAAAAACGUGAACCUGUAAAACUGCAGUGUUGAAUGCGAUAUGGUUGACAAUUUGGGUGCACCUAACUUUUGUGCUGGUGCACCUAAGAAAAAA
Molecule: RNA transcript, 3658 nt
Organism: Gadus chalcogrammus (walleye pollock)
Lineage: Eukaryota; Metazoa; Chordata; Actinopteri; Gadiformes; Gadidae
Gene name: zinc finger protein 862-like
Exons: 6
Source: RefSeq, a predicted model, not a curated record